GCAUAUCAAUAAGCGGAGGAAAAGAAACCAACAGGGAUUGCCCUAGUAACGGCGAGUGAAGCGGCAACAGCUCAAAUUUGAAAUCUGGCCCCCGCGGUCCGAGUUGUAAUUUGUAGAGGAUGCUUUUGGUGCGGUGCCUUCCGAGUUCCCUGGAACGGGACGCCAUAGAGGGUGAGAGCCCCGUCUGGUUGGACACCAAUCCUCUGUAAAGCUCCUUCGACGAGUCGAGUAGUUUGGGAAUGCUGCUCUAAAUGGGAGGUAUAUGUCUUCUAAAGCUAAAUACCGGCCAGAGACCGAUAGCGCACAAGUAGAGUGAUCGAAAGAUGAAAAGCACUUUGAAAAGAGGGUUAAAUAGUACGUGAAAUUGUUGAAAGGGAAGCGUUUGUGACCAGACUUGGGCUCGGUCAAUCAUCCAGCGUUCUCGCUGGUGCACUUGGCCGGCCCAGGCCAGCAUCAGUUUGCCGCGGGGGAGAAAGGUUUCGGGAACGUAGCUCCUCGGAGUGUUAUAGCCCGUUGCGUAAUACCCUGCGGCGGACUGAGGUUCGCGCAUCUGCUAGGAUGCUGGCGUAAUGGUCAUCAACGACCCGUCUUGAAACACGGACCAAGGAGUCGUCUUCGUAUGCGAGUGUUCGGGUGUCAAACCCCUACGCGUAAUGAAAGUGAACGGAGGUGGGAGCCUCGGCGCACCAUCGACCGAUCCUGAUGUUUUCGGAUGGAUUUGAGUAAGAGCAUACGGGGCCGGACCCGAAAGAAGGUGAACUAUGCCUGUAUAGGGUGAAGCCAGAGGAAACUCUGGUGGAGGCUCGCAGCGGUUCUGACGUGCAAAUCGAUCGUCAAAUAUGGGCAUGGGGGCGAAAGACUAAUCGAACCUUCUAGUAGCUGGUUUCCGCG
Molecule: ribosomal RNA, 891 nt
Filed under: Thyronectria aquifolii
Lineage: Eukaryota; Fungi; Ascomycota; Sordariomycetes; Hypocreales; Nectriaceae
Description: LSU rRNA
Rfam family: Eukaryotic large subunit ribosomal RNA
Source: RNAcentral